CUAGACUGGGUGGGGGAGGGGGGAAGAAAUUUCCAGGUUAGGGUUACGCCGUUUCAUGUUGUUGUCAGAGUAUAAUGUUGGAAAAGAAAUGUUGCCUUGAAAUGAUCCUUCUAUGUUUUAUUUCUUCUCAGUCAGGCAUACCUAAAUGUUUUUAUGGAAAAUAAUUACCAUAUCAUUCAAAAGUAAGUGAUUAUUUAUGUAUUUGUUUCAUAUUUGAGGAAACCAAGUCUUUUUCUCCCUCUUCCCAUCUUCUAGAGAUCAAAUAUUUCUUUACCAUGCCAUCUCACCCCAUCUCUCUGCCUCACAUUAGAUCAGCAACCACCCACAUUAGCAAAGACCAUCUCCAUCUUUCCAAGGGAGAGCUUGAGUGGGGUCCUUCAGCCAUUCUGUCCAGGAGAGAAAAGAACCUAUUUCUUUUAUCAGCACUGUUCUCCUCUAUUCUCCUUCUGUCUUCUCAGCUUACUUCCCUGAAAUCAGCCAGGGAACCAGUGGCCAUGAUCUUGAGGAAGCUGGACAACUGAGUUCCCCUCCCCUCCUGGGGAGCAAUAUGAACAUUUCACUAGACUGGUCCUAAACAGAGGAUUGCUCAUGAAUAGGGAAUUAACCCUCCUGGGAGCAGGAUAUUAUGUGCCUCAGUAGUCAGGACAGCAAACAAUAUCUCUGUGUGCUUGUGUUUUCCAGCUGUGCUAAAAAUAGACCCCAAACUGUGAACCACUGCAGGGCUUUCUCCCAUGAAAGUCAUUUUGACUCAUUAACACCAUGUCAGCUCACAUCGGACUGAGGCCACAGGGGCUCUAAACUCUAGCAGAGGACACCCUACUCCUCCUCUGGACUGGACGGAUGUGGCUCCCCUUCAAUAGAUGGCUUCCUCAGCUUCAACUGAGAAAUCUGGAGAGACACAAAAGGAGACACUGCCUCCAUGGUGUGAAAAGGGCGGAAGAAAAGGGGUGGGGGGGCGGCCGGGAGGGGAACCUGGAUUCAUUUCAAGCAUUGUUGAUUCAAAGCAAGACUUCGAAGUGGGACUGGGAGGGCAGUUAUGGGCAAUUGCUCCUCCUCCUCGGUGAAGGCCAGGCUAGAGGAAGAAGCCGGACUCACUCUGCCCUUCCCUUCGUAGCUUCAGUGGUCCGGGCCAGUGCUGAGUGUGAGCUCUGCCUCCCACUGGGAGACAGCAGGGCCACGGGAGAGGAAGCUACACCAGGGAAUCCAAGGUGAGGAGGAUCGGGCCAGUCACUUUCUCCUGUCCAGCUCGGAGUGCUGCCGUACAAAGGAGGUGCCAAAUUGUCUCUUUAUGCUCCAGUCGAUCCCAACUUUGAGCUGUUUGCCUGCUUUGAAUGAGAUAAUUUGUCAGACACCAGCUGCUGAUCAUUCUUUCCUCAUGGGCACAUUUAUUAUUAUGUUACAAUGCGCAUGAAGAAUCCUGAACAUCACUGAAGUGAAAAAUGAUUAAAAUUGUAUUUUCACAGAAAUUCUGGAGCCUUCAUUCUACCAGAGAGUGUCUGUCAGGCCACGUGUUGGGAAAAGUAAUAAUCAUAAUUAGCAAAACAACACACACACACACACACACACACACAGACACACACACACUCACAAAUGCCACCCCCAACCCCCACCCCACCCCCCAGCAAUGUGUCAGUG
Monodelphis domestica (gray short-tailed opossum) is the source of this 1635-nucleotide long non-coding RNA. NCBI's taxonomy places the organism in Eukaryota, Metazoa, Chordata, Mammalia, Didelphimorphia, Didelphidae. The record is from Ensembl.